This is a non-coding RNA of Saimiri boliviensis boliviensis (Bolivian squirrel monkey), 2090 nucleotides long. NCBI's taxonomy places the organism in Eukaryota, Metazoa, Chordata, Mammalia, Primates, Cebidae. The record is from RefSeq and is a predicted model, not a curated record.
CUCCCGGCGCUAGUGCAGACUAGACCAAUGCGAUGGGCGUAGCCAACGAAGAAGGACAAUUGGCAUCCUUGACUACCCCUGCUCUCAUUUGCCGAAGAAGUCACGUCGGUCUUCCCGGUUAAACUUUGUAGAGAAUAGCGGCGUUUGCUUCACGUUCAGAUCCUAAACUCCAGAUCCCCGUUCAGAGCUGGCUACCUACAAACCCUCCCGACCACCUCUCCUGAGCUGGGUGCUUGGGACCUAGGAAAAGCAGGUCUUGCCACAGACUUGUCUUCGUCCACACUCUGCCCUAUCGUCAAGGCCUGGUCCCACAGGUCACAACUUCCGUUCAAAUCAGUGCCCCCCACCCACCCCCAAUUUCCCACUGCAAGGGUAAAUUUGAAAGUUUUUCAGGCGAUUCCUUGGAUGUAGCAGUACUCUGAGCUCUCUCACUGGAAAGAAGGAACUGAUGUCCACCCCCACCUUCGAAGGUCCUCUAGGAGCCCCUAGACACUUCAGUGGUCUACUGUAGCUACUAAAAAUGUAGCUGGUUGUAACACGGGGAGAGCCAGAGUCCGAGGACCUGAUUUCCAAUUCUGACUUGGCUAACAUCACAUCACUACCCAUUUCAAAUUCUCCCUCUGUAAAAUGGAAAAUUGGAUUAGAUCUCUUAGGACUUCAAACAGUAACUGUGGUUUUAUUUAAAAAAAAAAAUAAUAAUAAAUAGGUAGCUUCUUGCUGGAGAUUCCUGGAUGGAUCCCAGUCUUCCCAAGAGGUAACAAAGGAGAGGUAACCAGUUGCCAGUGCAGUAGCUCAAGAAUACAGAAGAGAAACUGGCUUCAUUCCCUAUUCCAUCUUUCUCCAAGGUGGCAAACUCUAUGCCUCCUCCCGAGAGAAAAGCCUAACCACAGGUUCUAAUGGACAAGAGCUUACUGUAGCUAGUCAGAAAGGCCUAUAUUCAGGAGUCCAAGAGUAAUUGCUCAGUUUCCUAAGUAGAGAAUACGGCUAGUCCCCUUUGGGUCUUGGAUAGGUUAAGAGCACAGAUUUGAACAUGCCUGGGCCUAAGUGAGGUGUGGGAAAAUAGCAGCAGGGGGCAGCAGCGUAGUGCAGGAAAGGGCUAUAACUUUAUUUCUAUUUCCUCUUACACAAAACCAUCGAAACAAGAACAGAGAAGGGCUGAAAUUCUGUUCAAAUCCCAUGUUCUCAGGGAUAUUCCAGGGAGCUCUCGAGGCUGUGCGUAGCUUCAAAUCCAACACUAAUUCCUCACCCCCUGGCCUGAGGUCUUCAGAUUGGUGGCUUGAGCCCUGCAAUUAAUUAUAAUCCCUUGCCCACCUUGAUGUAAGGCAGGAAAGCAGAUUGAAACGCUUCUCUCUGACGGGCAAGGGGAAUCACAGCCCAUAGCUGUACUGCACCUUCUGUGCUACAGGAGCAGAACCUGAAGCUGCUUCCAAGGCUCUGGACACUUGCACGGAGGGCUAGAGGCCAAUGGUAUACGAGCGGCCUGUGGGGUUGUGAAUAGCAGAACAAACUGGUGCUGUCACAGCCCACUCAUACCACACCUUCUUGGAACUGCUGCAUCGCCAGAAACGCACACAGAUGGUCUGGCCUUCACGUACCGUUAUGGGCUGCUGUAAGAAGAAAGACAGGGAGGGUCAGGGUGGAGCUAAUAAAUAUGUGGCAAUGUAUUAAGCAGAGAAAAACAAUUGAUGCAAAUACAGAAAAAAUAAGAGGACUAAAGAGUACCGCUCUUUCCAGAGAGAGUGGUUCUUUACCUCAGGGUCACGGUCCUUCUCCCUACAGGCUCGGACCUCAUUGUACAGUUUGGAGGAGGAGAUGGGAGCCAGGAAGGAAGUGUACGCUCCGGGGAUGCUCACACCAUCAUCUGCAUAGCAGGAAACUCAAAUUAGUUCCAGAGGGAGGGAAAUGGUAUGUCUGUACUAACCGAAGGAUCAAACCUCCCAUGUCAAACUGACCAAUGUUGGCAUGGGCAUGGAAGAAAGGCAAAGGCAUGUUGUCACAUUACUAAGCCAGCCUGCUUCUAGCUACUGUCAGGAAGGAUUCUACUUUUAGGUUAAUUUACAGAGUCACAGAUUAAAACUGAAAGAACCCAA